This 449-nucleotide ribosomal RNA is filed under the name uncultured bacterium. RNAcentral's name for it is "partial 16S ribosomal RNA". It matches the Rfam family "Bacterial small subunit ribosomal RNA", at positions 29 to 523 of the family's 1533-position model. The record is from RNAcentral.
AACGAACGCUGGCGGCAGGCCUAACACAUGCAAGUCGAACGCCCUAGCAAUAGGGAGUGGCAGACGGGUGAGUAACACGUGGGAACCUUCCCAAUAGUACGGAAUAGCCCAGGGAAACUUGGAGUAAUACCGUAUACGCCCGAAAGGGGAAAGAUUUAUCGCUAUUGGAUGGGCCCGCGUCGGAUUAGCUAGUUGGUGAGGUAACGGCUCACCAAGGCGACGAUCCGUAGCUGGUUUGAGAGAACGACCGGCCACACUGGGACUGAGACACGGCCCAGACUCCUACGGGAGGCAGCAGUGGGGAAUCUUGGACAAUGGGCGCAAGCCUGAUCCAGCCAUGCCGCGUGAGUGACGAAGGUCUUCGGAUUGUAAAGCUCUUUUGGCGGGGACGAUAAUGACGGUACCCGCAGAAUAAGCCCCGGCUAACUUCGUGCCAGCAGCCGCCGUAA